This 254-nucleotide ribosomal RNA is filed under the name uncultured bacterium. Its description in RNAcentral is "partial 16S ribosomal RNA". It matches the Rfam family "Bacterial small subunit ribosomal RNA", at positions 524 to 776 of the family's 1533-position model. The record is from RNAcentral.
UACGUAGGUGGCAAGCGUUGUCCGGAAUUAUUGGGCGUAAAGCGCGCGCAGGCGGUCCUUUAAGUCUGAUGUGAAAGCCCACGGCUCAACCGUGGAGGGUCAUUGGAAACUGGAGGACUUGAGUACAGAAGAGGAAAGCGGAAUUCCACGUGUAGCGGUGAAAUGCGUAGAGAUGUGGAGGAACACCAGUGGCGAAGGCGGCUUUCUGGUCUGUAACUGACGCUGAGGCGCGAAAGCGUGGGGGAGCAAACAGG